This 445-nucleotide ribosomal RNA is filed under the name uncultured bacterium. RNAcentral's name for it is "partial 16S ribosomal RNA". It matches the Rfam family "Bacterial small subunit ribosomal RNA", at positions 354 to 796 of the family's 1533-position model. The record is from RNAcentral.
GUAGGGAAUAUUGGGCAAUGGAUGCAAGUCUGACCCAGCCAUCCCGCGUGCCGGAAGAAGGCCCUCAGGGUUGUAAACGGCUUUUGACGGUGAAGAAUCGACAGGAUGCGUCCUGUUUUGACGGUAGCCGUUGAAUAAGCACCGGCUAACUCCGUGCCAGCAGCCGCGGUAAUACGGAGGUUGCGAGCGUUCUCCGGAUUCACUGGGUUUAAAGGGUGCGUAGGCUGGAAGGUCAGUCAGCGGUGAAAAGCUGUCGCUUAACGAUAGUCUUGCCGCAGAUACUUCCUUUCUUGGAUGAGGAGGAGGCCACUGGAACGGAUGGUGUAGCGGUGAAAUGCAUAGAUAUCAUCCAGAACACCGAUUGCGAAGGCAGGUGGCUGUACCUUAAUCGACGCUGAUGCACGAAAGCAUGGGGAGCAAACAGGAUUAGAAACCCCUGUAGUCC